RNAcentral lists this ribosomal RNA (253 nucleotides) under uncultured bacterium. RNAcentral's name for it is "partial 16S ribosomal RNA". It matches the Rfam family "Bacterial small subunit ribosomal RNA", at positions 524 to 776 of the family's 1533-position model. The record is from RNAcentral.
UACGUAGGCAGCAAGCGUUGUUCGGAAUUACUGGGCGUAAAGCGUGCGCAGGCGGCUUUGCAAGACAGAUGUGAAAUCCCCGGGCUCAACCUGGGAACUGCAUUUGUGACUGCAAGGCUAGAGUACGGUAGAGGGGGAUGGAAUUCCGCGUGUAGCAGUGAAAUGCGUAGAUAUGCGGAGGAACACCGAUGGCGAAGGCAAUCCCCUGGACCUGUACUGACGCUCAUGCACGAAAGCGUGGGGAGCAAACAGG